RNAcentral lists this transfer RNA (75 nucleotides) under bacterium. RNAcentral's name for it is "tRNA-Phe". The stretch from base 7 to 69 matches the Rfam family "tRNA", at positions 5 to 66 of the family's 71-position model. Rfam says of the family: Transfer RNA (tRNA) molecules are approximately 80 nucleotides in length. Their secondary structure includes four short double-helical elements and three loops (D, anti-codon, and T loops). The record is from RNAcentral.
CGCUUUGCGUAUCUCAACGGUAGAGCAGUCGAUUAAAUAUUGAUGUAUUACGGGUUCAAUUCCCGUCGCCAGUUA